CUCUGUCAACUAAAGAUCAGUAUCGGCAACGACACAGUAAAAGCCACCAUCCCCCAUUUCUAGCCGUGCACUGCCUCAAACAGUAAAAAGCUAUUACGGUCGAUCACCGUAUCACGUAAAAGAAGAUAUACUACUCUACCAGUACUGCUCACCGGUCUCUCCUCUCAGUAGAAACUCCAAAACUUAAAGAAGCAAAAGAAAGAACAAGAAUAAAAAGGGUUACACGCUUAGCAGCAGUAAAAACUUGAGAAGAUAUGCAACUCUGUCACUACCGCUCACGGUUCUCAGUAGCCUCUUUUCUCAGCAGAAACUCCAAAAAAAAAACUUG
RNAcentral lists this long non-coding RNA (328 nucleotides) under Elaeis guineensis (African oil palm). RNAcentral's name for it is "long non-coding RNA (EGUI_LNC014147)". Lineage: Eukaryota; Viridiplantae; Streptophyta; Magnoliopsida; Arecales; Arecaceae. The record is from RNAcentral.